UUGCCCACUUUGGUAGCCCAGGUAAGUAUACUAAACUGGAAUGAAACAGAAAAGAUCAGUAGAACCCCUGAGCAAGGGUGACACACACAUUCACGAAGAGUUACAUUUCCAG
Small nuclear RNA from Ochotona princeps (American pika), 112 nucleotides. The record is from RefSeq and is a predicted model, not a curated record. NCBI's taxonomy places the organism in Eukaryota, Metazoa, Chordata, Mammalia, Lagomorpha, Ochotonidae.